UACGGAGGGUGCAAGCGUUAUCCGGAUUCACUGGGUUUAAAGGGUGCGUAGGCGGGCAGGUAAGUCAGUGGUGAAAUCUCCGGGCUUAACCCGGAAACUGCCGUUGAUACUAUCUGUCUUGAAUAUCGUAGAGGUAAGCGGAAUAUGUCAUGUAGCGGUGAAAUGCUUAGAUAUGACAUAGAACACCCAUUGCGAAGGCAGCUUACUACACGAUCAUUGACGCUGAGGCACGAAAGCGUGGGGAGCAAACAGG
This 253-nucleotide ribosomal RNA is filed under the name uncultured bacterium. RNAcentral's name for it is "partial 16S ribosomal RNA". It matches the Rfam family "Bacterial small subunit ribosomal RNA", at positions 524 to 776 of the family's 1533-position model. The record is from RNAcentral.